UGGGGAAUUUUGGACAAUGGGCGCAAGCCUGAUCCAGCCAUGCCGCGUGCGGGAGGAAGGCCUUCGGGUUGUAAACCGCUUUUGUCAGGGAAGAAAUCUUCUGAGUUAAUACCUCGGGAGGAUGACGGUACCUGAAGAAUAAGCACCGGCUAACUACGUGCCAGCAGCCGCGGUAAUACGUAGGGUGCAAGCGUUAAUCGGAAUUACUGGGCGUAAAGCGUGCGCAGGCGGUUUUGUAAGACAGAGGUGAAAUCCCCGGGCUCAACCUGGGAACUGCCUUUGUGACUGCAAGGCUUGAGUGCGGCAGAGGGGGAUGGAAUUCCGCGUGUAGCAGUGAAAUGCGUAGAUAUGCGGAGGAACACCGAUGGCGAAGGCAAUCCCCUGGGCCUGCACUGACGCUCAUGCACGAAAGCGUGGGGAGCAAACAGGAUUAGAUAGCCCUGGUAGUCCACGCCCUAAACGAUGUCAACUGGUUGUUGGGAAGGUUCCUUCUCAGUAACGUAGCUAACGCGUGAAGUUGACCGCCUGGGGAGUACGGCCGCAAGGUUG
Molecule: ribosomal RNA, 549 nt
Filed under: uncultured bacterium
Lineage: Bacteria
Description: partial 16S ribosomal RNA
Rfam family: Bacterial small subunit ribosomal RNA
Source: RNAcentral